RNAcentral lists this microRNA precursor (179 nucleotides) under Medicago truncatula (barrel medic). RNAcentral's name for it is "MIR2619 microRNA precursor family". It matches the Rfam family "MIR2619 microRNA precursor family". The record is from Rfam by way of RNAcentral. Lineage: Eukaryota; Viridiplantae; Streptophyta; Magnoliopsida; Fabales; Fabaceae.
AAAUUGUCCCUUAAGUUUUGCAACUGUAGCAGUUUUAGUCCCCAAGGUCAAUUUUUGGUAAAAAAAUAAAAUAAAAUAACAGGUGACACCUCAUUUAGGGUGCCACGUCAGCGUAGACCGAGUCAAAAUUGGUCUUGGGGGCCAAAACUGCCACAAAUGCAAAACUUAGGGGGCGGUUU